Molecule: ribosomal RNA, 491 nt
Filed under: uncultured bacterium
Lineage: Bacteria
Description: partial 16S ribosomal RNA
Rfam family: Bacterial small subunit ribosomal RNA
Source: RNAcentral
GAUGAACGCUAGCUACAGGCUUAACACAUGCAAGUCGAGGGGAAACGGCAUCGAAAGCUUGCUUUUGAUGGGCGUCGACCGGCGCACGGGUGAGUAACGCGUAUCCAACCUGCCCAUCACUCGGGAAUAACCUUGCGAAAGUAAGACUAAUGCCCAAUGACAUCCCACGAAGGCAUCCGAAUGGGAUUAAAGAUUUAUCGGUGAUGGAUGGGGAUGCGUCUGAUUAGCUUGUUGGCGGGGUGACGGCCCACCAAGGCAACGAUCAGUAGGGGUUCUGAGAGGAAGGGGGCGGACAUUGGGAAUGAGACACGGUCAAGAGUGAGACGGGAGACAGCAGUGGGGGAUAGUGGUAUAUGGGCGAGAGGGUGAACAAGAUAAGUAGCGUGCAGGAUGACGGCCCUAUGGGUUGUAAACUGCUUUUAUAAGGGAAAAAAGUGGGUCAAGUGUGACUUUUUGGAUGUAGCUUAUGAAUUAGGAACGGCUAUUUGCGU